Molecule: ribosomal RNA, 426 nt
Filed under: Triticum aestivum (bread wheat)
Lineage: Eukaryota; Viridiplantae; Streptophyta; Magnoliopsida; Poales; Poaceae
Description: partial small subunit ribosomal RNA
Source: RNAcentral
AUGCAAGAGACCAAGAUAGACGCGUGGUCACCAACCAUGGUCCGUGAAAUUGGUGGCCAAACGCUGCAGGGCUGCGCCCACAUGCCCGCCAUCGGCACCCGCGGUGGCAUUGCCAUUUUAUGGAACAGAGAUCUUGUAGAUGCUGUCACACACGCUGUUGGCCAAUUUGCAGUCACGAUCAAGGUCACCGUAGCUAGAUGUCACACUUCUUUCUGGCUAACCACGGUCUACGGACCGACCGACGACGCGAGCAAGGAGGCUUUUCUCCUGGAGAUUUCGAGCACGGCGCCGCCUGCGUCUGAACCUUGGAUAAUCUGUGGUGACUUCAAUCAAAUCUACGAGGCGAGAAAGAAGAAUAAUCCCAACCUCAAUAGGAGGCUGAUGGGCCGUUUCAGGGCGUCCAUUGACAGAGCGGGGCUUCGUUAG